RNAcentral lists this long non-coding RNA (348 nucleotides) under Prunus persica (peach). Its description in RNAcentral is "long non-coding RNA (PPER_LNC001479)". Lineage: Eukaryota; Viridiplantae; Streptophyta; Magnoliopsida; Rosales; Rosaceae. The record is from RNAcentral.
GGAUUCUUUAAUUUUUCGCUUACGCUCUCCUUCUCUUGGGACUUAAAAUGAAGUCAUCAUCGUCGUCGCUCUCCUUGAUAACUCUCUUCUUGCCUUUUACAUCACCAUUCUUAGAUGCCUGCUGUUGUUGCCUCUGUGAGCUCUCAGGUUUACUAGGUGGUUUUGUAGACUCAGGUUUACUUGGUGGUUUUGUAGACUCAGGUUUACUUGGUGGUUUUGUAGACUUAAUAGGAGUUCCUAACCGGAGUUGCUUUUGCUUUCUCUGCUUCUUCUCGAAUGCCUUUCUGGAUCUUUCAGGGGACAAUAGGCCAUGCUCCAUCAUCCUGCAAAUGAAUUAUGUUGUUCGUU